GGCCUGUUAGCUCAGUUGGUUAGAGCGCCGUGCUAAUAUCGCGGAGAUCAUGAGUUCGAUCCUCUUACGGGCCA
Molecule: non-coding RNA, 74 nt
Organism: Daphnia pulex (common water flea)
Lineage: Eukaryota; Metazoa; Arthropoda; Branchiopoda; Diplostraca; Daphniidae
Source: Rfam